UACGUAGGGGGCUAGCGUUGUCCGGAAUCAUUGGGCGUAAAGAGCGUGUAGGCGGCCCGGUAAGUCCGCUGUGAAAGUCGGGGGCUCAACCCUCGAAAGCCGGUGGAUACUGGCGAUCUAGAGUGCGGUAGAGGGUAGUGGAAUUCCCGGUGUAGCAGUGGAAAUGCGUAGAGAUCAGGAAGAACACCGGUGGCGAAAGCGCUCUGCUAGGCCGCAACUGACACUCAUGGACGAAAGGCUAGGGGAGCGAAUGGG
Molecule: ribosomal RNA, 255 nt
Filed under: uncultured bacterium
Lineage: Bacteria
Description: partial 16S ribosomal RNA
Rfam family: Bacterial small subunit ribosomal RNA
Source: RNAcentral